RNAcentral lists this ribosomal RNA (378 nucleotides) under Acontias percivali. RNAcentral describes it as "partial 12S ribosomal RNA". It matches the Rfam family "Bacterial small subunit ribosomal RNA", at positions 794 to 1374 of the family's 1533-position model. Lineage: Eukaryota; Metazoa; Chordata; Lepidosauria; Squamata; Scincidae. The record is from RNAcentral.
GCUUAGCCAUUAACACAGACAGCUUAAAACAACAACGCUGCCCGCCAGAGAACUACAAGCGAAAAACUAGAAACUCUAAGGACUUGGCGGUGCUCCACACCUACCUAGAGGAGCCUGUCCUAUAAUCGAUACCCCACGUUAAACCCUACCGCCCCUAGCAAAACCAACCUAUAUACCGCCGUCGCCAGCCUACCUUAUGAAAGAACAAUAGUAAGCAAAACAGUAAGCACUAAUACGUCAGGUCAAGGUGUAGUAAAUGAGGCGGAAGAGAUGGGCUACAUUUACUAAAAUAGUAAAACACGAACAGCAAGAUGAAAUACUUGCCAGAAGGAGGAUUUAGCAGUAAGACAAAAAAACUUUUUUAUCUUAAGACAGCUC